CUACGGGUUGCUGCAGUGGGGAAUAUUGCACAAUGGGGGAAACCCUGAUGCAGCCAUGCCGCGUGUGUGAAGAAGGCCUUCGGGUUGUAAAGCACUUUCAGUUGUGAGGAAAGGUUGUAGAUUAAUACUCUGCAGCUGUGACGUUAGCAACAGAAGAAGCACCGGCUAACUCCGUGCCAGCAGCCGCGGUAAUACGGAGGGUGCGAGCGUUAAUCGGAAUUACUGGGCGUAAAGCGCGUGUAGGUGGCUUGUUAAGCCAGAUGUGAAAGCCCCGGGCUCAACCUGGGAACUGCAUUUGGAACUGGCAGGCUAGAGUUUUGUAGAGGGUGGUAGAAUUUCAGGUGUAGCGGUGAUAUGCGUAGAGAUCUGAAGGAAUACCGGUGGCGAAGGCGACCACCUGGCCAAUAACUGACACUGAGACGCGAAGGCGUGGGUAGCAAACGGGAUUAGAUACCCGAGUAGUC
This 464-nucleotide ribosomal RNA is filed under the name uncultured bacterium. RNAcentral describes it as "partial 16S ribosomal RNA". It matches the Rfam family "Bacterial small subunit ribosomal RNA", at positions 339 to 795 of the family's 1533-position model. The record is from RNAcentral.